This is a non-coding RNA of Pelobates cultripes (western spadefoot toad), 212 nucleotides long. The record is from the annotation of a GenBank genome assembly. NCBI's taxonomy places the organism in Eukaryota, Metazoa, Chordata, Amphibia, Anura, Pelobatidae.
GAUUAGUUGUGAGAACGGAGGGGCGACUGUGGCUGCUUGAGCGGCUGACGGGUGUGCUUGUCAAAAAGCCUGAAAAUUAAAACGAGACAGGCUGUCAGCUGCUAUAUUACUAAUACCUGGUACAUGAAAGCAAACCAAGUAGAAGUUAUGACAUGCUGCCAACCACGUGAGUUUUCUAAGAAACCUCAUGAUUGUAAGGGAUGAUGAACGGC